RNAcentral lists this ribosomal RNA (174 nucleotides) under uncultured soil bacterium. RNAcentral's name for it is "partial 16S ribosomal RNA". It matches the Rfam family "Bacterial small subunit ribosomal RNA", at positions 26 to 218 of the family's 1533-position model. The record is from RNAcentral.
AGAUUGAACGCUGGCGGCAUGCCUUACACAUGCAAGUCGAACGGUAGAGUAGCAAUACUCGAGAGUGGCGAACGGGUGAGUAAUAUAUCGGAACGUGCCCAGUCGUGGGGGAUAACGUAGAGAAAUUUACGCUAAUACCGCAUACGAUCUACGGAUGAAAGCGGGGGAUUCGGC